GCCGCCCCUGCUGGCCGCCCCCUUGUCCGCGGCUCACCACACCAGCUCCCCCCUCCUGUUCGCGGCUCACCACACCAGCGCCUCGCCGCUCUGCUCACCACCCUGCUCGCGGCCUCUCUGCGGGCGGCUACCCAUCUCUGCUGGCCGCCCCUUGGCUCGUCGCUCAACAGGCGCGCCUUUAAGUCCUUCUGACGGAGGGGGUGAUUCACUGAGGGUUGCCUGUUUUUAGGGGUUUGUAGGACAAAUUGCCUACCAAUCCCAGGGGGCGAUUUGUCAAAGGGGCGACCCCUUCGCCCCCCCCCCCUCCCCGUAAAACCGUACCUGCCGCUCAACAGCCCCUCUCGCCGCCCCUGCUGCUCCUGGCAAUCCGUCUGUGUAAUCCGUUUGUUGCUGCCGAGAAGAAGGUUCUAGUCAAGCCACGCCCCCCACCCGCCACCCACCGCGACUCGUUGUCGAACGCACGAGUGAACCUUCAAGUGGCUCGACGACGCGAACCUCUUCGGGAAUGCUGCAGCAGCGUUUCCCUGCGUGGUCGACAGACGACAGGCAAGUCUCGUUAGCAAUACUACUUGUUUCACAUUUGGUGCGUUUGCAGUGACCCUCCUGGUCAGCCCCUGAUGACGCCCGUCGGCUGCCGACCGGCGCGCCGCUCUUGGCCCAGGCGCCCCCCCAUCGUCUCUAGUGAGUCGCCUGAAAGAUUUUUCUCGGUGAUGUAGCUGGCCAACAGCUUGCAGCUUCGACUACUUUUUGAUACCACAAGUAGAAGUAAAUUUUUCUGGGAGCCACCACAUCCCACCACACUAUGCAUGCUGUUACUCCCCAAGGCUUCAGCUCUCUACUUCAAUUUACUUUCUGCCAUUCUUUUUGAUUUGUCUGCCAACAUUUCCUAUUCUGAAACAUCUAAGUUAACGUAAACUUUUGAAUCAGGUGUUUCUGUUAUCUAAACCUAUGUAGCUUUAGUACAGAAACUUUGAAUAGUUCCGUUUCUGCAUUGAUUUUGAGAUUGAAAUUUGGAUUCCCUUUUUAUUAAAACUCAUUACAUUUUGACAUCUAUGUUGCAGCCGACAUUUCAAUGCUACCCUGCAACCAAACGGGAUCAUUUCACCUUCUUCAAAUUUUAAGACUUGAAACUGAUCAUUAUACUUUGUACAAAUAUGGGACACCUAAGCAUAUAAUGGUCAACAGCGUUUAUAUAUCACUGUGUUUCGACUAUUGGACUUGCUAUUAUUGACUGACUCCUCUCUUUUGUGUGUGUCCUUAUAUUUUUUGGCAUAGCACUUCACUGAAUGGUCGUUUGUUAUGGUUGUUUUUCUAUUUUUGGUAUUACGUUUCUGUUUGCAUGUUUGUGGUUGUGAAUGUGGGGCAUGGUGUAAAUUCUGUGUGGUAUCUUCUGGAAUGACUUCGACACAUUAGAACCCUCUGCCACUUUCUCUGCAUCCAAAUCAUUCCACAAACUUAUGUCAUCUAAUCUAAAUGAAUUAUUUGUAUUCUGCCAUUGAUUGUUAAGAAUAUUUCAAAUUAUUUAUUGCCACCCCAAUGUUAGGAUACACUUAUGUGCCAGUGCUUGAGAUACAAUUUUGUAUCUAGUUUUAUUUGCACUGUAAUUCAAUUAUAUUAGUUUCUCACUUUUGUUGCAGUAUAACUGAAACUUAAAAGUAUUUAGUUUAACGAUACUCCUAGAUUUGUUUGUGAUUGUUAAACUUCGUUCUUGAACUUUCAGUGAAGACCCCUUGAUUCCUGUUGAUACUAGUUUGUCAAUGAACUCAAUGUAAAACAUUUUUUUUACUUUCAAUUUACUUAAUUUAAUUUGGUGAAUUUCUGCUUUAUCUGCAUAACUUUAUUUGAAUUUGUGUGCCCUCCCUGUACUGUACUAACUAGUACCAACUAUAUGACCUCUUUUUGUCUGCAACUGUUACGCCAACUGUUCUACUGUGCUGCUAAAAUAAAUUUCUCGCUCUCUUGAGCCAGCCCUUUCUAGGAAAUGUUGUUUACCUGCUCCUUGCUCCUCAUG
This is a long non-coding RNA of Frankliniella occidentalis (western flower thrips), 2011 nucleotides long. RefSeq lists it as uncharacterized. The record is from RefSeq and is a predicted model, not a curated record. Lineage: Eukaryota; Metazoa; Arthropoda; Insecta; Thysanoptera; Thripidae. The transcript is spliced from 3 exons.